RNAcentral lists this ribosomal RNA (492 nucleotides) under uncultured bacterium. Its description in RNAcentral is "partial 16S ribosomal RNA". It matches the Rfam family "Bacterial small subunit ribosomal RNA", at positions 29 to 507 of the family's 1533-position model. The record is from RNAcentral.
AGUGAACGCUGGCGGUAGGCCUAACACAUGCAAGUCGAACGGCAGCACAGUAAGAGCUUGCUCUUACGGGUGGCGAGUGGCGGACGGGUGAGGAAUACAUCGGAAUCUACUUUUUCGUGGGGGAUAACGUAGGGAAACUUACGCUAAUACCGCAUACGACCUACGGGUGAAAGCAGGGGAUCUUCGGACCUUGCGCGAUUGAAUGAGCUGAUGUCGGAUUAGCUAGUUGGCGGGGUAAAGGCCCACCAAGGCGACGAUCCGUAGCUGGUCUGAGAGGAUGAUCAGCCACACUGGAACUGAGACACGGUCCAGACUCCUACGGGAGGCAGCAGUGGGGAAUAUUGGACAAUGGGCGCAAGCCUGAUCCAGCCAUACCGCGUGGGUGAAGAAGGCCUUCGGGUUGUAAAGCCCUUUUGUUGGGAAAGAAAAGCAGCAGGUUAAUACCCCGCUGUUCUGACGGUACCCAAAGAACAAGCACCGGCUAACUUCGUG